AAGUCGUAACAAGGUCAUCGUAGGUGAACCUGCGGUGGGAUCAUCAACAGUUCCAACACCUUUACAAGCAGCUGCAGCCCCAGGGGCCAGUUCCUACCUGCUCUAACCGGGCAAGGGGGGACGGGUCGCUGGUCGGCAGCGCUGCGCCCUUCGUGUGAACCUUUUCUGCUGUUUUGUCAUUGCGGUCAGACCACAACAUCACAUGCUGUGGAAUGGCCGCACUAGCAAGGCAACAACCCCCAUUUUGCGUUUCCCUCGCGCUCUAUGCGUGGGGGAAUGCGCUGUUAAAAAACACCAAAAAGUAACUAAAUGUGAACAAGUAAUAUACCAACAUAGUUGGAAAAAGCAUACAAUGCAAAUACAACUAUCAACGGUGGAUCACUUGGCUCUU
Molecule: unclassified non-coding RNA, 391 nt
Filed under: fungal sp.
Lineage: Eukaryota; Fungi
Description: partial internal transcribed spacer region
Rfam family: Eukaryotic small subunit ribosomal RNA (bases 1-46)
Source: RNAcentral